GACUUGGCUGGGCGGUCCGCUUAACGGCGUGUACUGUCUGGCUGGGUCUUACCUCUUGGUGAGCCGGCGUGCCCUUUAUUGGUGUGCGUCGGGGAACCAGGACUUUUACCUUGAGAAAAUUAGAGUGUUCAAAGCAGGCCUAUGCCUGAAUACAUUAGCAUGGAAUAAUAAAAUAGGACGUGCGGUUCUAUUUUGUUGGUUUCUAGGAUUGACGUA
Molecule: ribosomal RNA, 216 nt
Filed under: uncultured fungus
Lineage: Eukaryota; Fungi
Description: partial small subunit ribosomal RNA
Rfam family: Eukaryotic small subunit ribosomal RNA (bases 92-216)
Source: RNAcentral